UUAUUAUUAUUAUUAUUAUUAUUAUUAUACAUGCUGUGUGAAAAACACUUUUAUCUGUACUGAAUCUCCCAGCAUUCAGCUUUGUUGGGUAUCCAAGAGUUCACACACUAUUCCAAACAUAUCAUAAUGACAUUAUGACAUCAGCAGUUUUAUUUUCAGUUCCUUUCCUAGUGAACUCUAGCAUGGAUUUUGCCUCUUUCCCCUCUUUUUUUUUUUACAGUUGCUGCACACUGGGACAGAGGACAGAGACUGGGGGACAGAGUGUGGGAGAGAAUGGCAAAGGGAGGCACAACACAAAAAGAGACUUUACGUCAAAAGCCCUCAAAUGGUAUAUCAAUAUAUCUCUGCUUUUUUCCAACUUUGGCACUGAACUUCAAGCAUCUCUUUUUUUUGUGAGAACGGGGGGGGGGGAACACUGGGCUUUUUCUUUCUAUUAAUGCUUCUGUCAUGCUGUGACUUGUUCCACAUGACUUCUUUCUCCACGCAUUAUUUUUAGCUGGCAGCUUUGUAGUCUGGGCUUACCUGUAAGAAGAGCUCAUCUUGGAAAAGCCCUUUCCCUCCCCACACCCAGCCUGCAUGGAAGGCCUUUAAAGUUGCCCAUUAAAACGUGUGUCAUUCUGUGAGGGAAAGGAAUCCACAAGAAGAACUGGGAGAUCAUUUGUAUCUGGGUUUGCUUCCCAUCGGUUUCUAGGUCGAGUCCUCUCCUUGUAAUUGUCCUUGUUUCCUUUAAGAUAGCUUCACAAUUCAUGAAUCAUUCAGAGGUGUACAGCCAUAAAUAGGCAGCUUCUCUGAGGCAUCAUGAGGGCCAUAAGACUGCUUAUCUUGGAGACAGUCCUUGUCAUGCUUUUUACCACUUACAUAUAUUUUUUACAGGAAACCUUGCCUGGUUUUGCUAUUCUUAAGUUAAAUGCACUACAAAAGACUGACACUGGCCUCCGCUUCUGGUAAAGUUAUUAAAAGGCUUAAAGAUCUCGUUGUCUGGAGAAACAGAUGCUUUCUCUUACUGCACACCAUAGAUAAUAUGAAAGAUGGGCAUAAAGUAGUGUUUUCCGAAACAGAAGAUUGGGGACCUGAAUAACCUAGUUUGAUUUCCAAGCAGGGCUGGCCCCUGUCAUUUCGCUGCUUGAGGCAAAAUGUCUCCUCCUCAUUCUGCAUAAAGAUGCCAAUUAGCCUUCAGACCUGGAAAACGGAGCUCUCCAAAUGUUGUUGGACUGUAACUCCCAUCAGCCCCAGACAGCGUUGCCCCACUGUUGUCCCAGGGAUGAUGGGGGUUACAGUUUUUUUAAAAAUCUGCAAAAACACACCACAUGAAAAACUGAAAAGGAUAGGAAAUAGGUGAUCUGGUCUUCCCUAACUGUACAGUGGACGCUCGGGUUGCGAGUGUGAUCCGUGUGGGAUGCACAUUCGCAACCCGCAGUGUUCGCAACCUGUGUCUGCAAGUCUGUGCACGCAUGGGUUGCGAUUGGGCGCUUCUGCGCAUGCGCAACCGCAGAAACCCGGAAGUAACUCAUUCCGGUACUUCCAGGUUUCGGCAGUCCACGACCCGAAAAAACGGAACCUGAAGCGGCUGUAACCUGAGGUAUGACUGUAUUGUUAUUUGAACCACUUUAGCCUGCCCUGAGAUCUUUGGAUGCAAGGUGUCUGUAGGUUUGUUCUGAAGCAAACAAAAAUGCACAGCAGCGACCCAUCCCCAUGGGCUUUCUUUGCCUUCAUGCUACUCCUCCUGAAUUUAAAAUGUCUGCCAGAGCUGAAGUAUGUGCUCCAUGCCACUUCCUUCGAUUCACUUGAAGUUCCCUGCUCCACACUAUUUAAUAGAAGUGUACACUGAGAAAGCACAGCAAAAAAACAGUGAUGGAAUGUAUGAUUGCAUUCUAUGUGGGGCUAUCUUUGAAGGUGGCUCAGAAUCUAAAGCUAAUCCAGAAUGUGGCUGCCAAACUGGUGCCUGGUGACUCAGCUACACUGACACAAAGAAAGUGCUUCAUAUGCGUUGUACUUGCAUUAUUACACUGAGACACCAGGUGGCGCUGUGGAGUUCCAUUUUUGCCAACCUGAUUUCUCAUACAACAUUUACAAUGCGUUUAACUGAAACGUUUCUUUGAUGUGUCUAGAUCCAACCUGGGAGUGGCCACCGGGACCAUAUAACACCAGUCCUAAGGGAUCUACAUUGGCUCUCAGUCAGUUUCCAAGCACAAUUCAAAGUGUUGGUGCGGACCUUCAAAACCCUAAACGGCCUCAGCCCUGUAUACCUGAAGAAGCUUCUCCACCCCCAUCGUUCAGCCCGGACACUGAGGUCCUCCUCCGAGGGUCUUCUGCUGGUUCCCUCACUCAGAGAAGCAAAGUUACAGGGAACCAGGCAGAGGGCCUUCUCGGUAGUGGCACCCACCCUGUGGAACACCUUCCCAUCAGAUGUCAAGGAG
Molecule: long non-coding RNA, 2417 nt
Filed under: Podarcis lilfordi (Lilford's wall lizard)
Lineage: Eukaryota; Metazoa; Chordata; Lepidosauria; Squamata; Lacertidae
Source: RNAcentral